Molecule: long non-coding RNA, 1328 nt
Filed under: Erythranthe guttata (spotted monkey flower)
Lineage: Eukaryota; Viridiplantae; Streptophyta; Magnoliopsida; Lamiales; Phrymaceae
Description: long non-coding RNA (EGUT_LNC003418)
Source: RNAcentral
UUACCCACGGCUCAUGAGUGUGACGUUUUCAAUUUUAUUUUUAAACUAAUACUUAUGUGCUUUGUUGUUUGUAGCAAUUGAGGCAUCCACGCAAUAAUUAUGGAACCAAACCACAGAUCUGUCGAAAGAGGUAAUGUAAUUUCACAGAUUAUCAUUUCAAACUUUUCGCAAAUUUAUUGCAUUUCGCCAUAUCUUGAAUUCAAAGAGCAACCAUUCAUUGAAAGAGCUGCAAAAAAGCAUCGGAGAAGAAGAAGAAAAAGUAAGAAUAAAUUUGACCAUUUUUUUUUUAUUUUGAAAUCUCAUACAAUUUCUUCUCACUCUCUUGAAUUUCCCUUCUUCCCUAUAUUUGUUGUUCUGUAAAUCGGCCAAAAAUUUGUACCAGUAUUUGUAAAUUGUGUUUUUUUUUCCUUAAAAAAAUUGCACUGUUGUGUUUCAUUUGUCGGGUUAGGUGUGUAUAGAUUUAGAGUAGUAAUAUUUGAUCACACAUCAGGAAUUAGAUUUUGAAAUUGCUGUGCCUGUAAGUAAUCCGAUUGUGCUGAAAUUCGGUCUAAAUCAUGCUCCAUUAAAAUGCUUUCACCACAUUCUUUUCCAUCGGUGUGCAGUUAUUAUUAUUUAUUUAUUAUUAAACAUCUUUGCAGUUAUUUAAUUAACUAUCUAAUUUAUUUUGGUGUUGCAGGGUUUUUUUGUUUUUUUUAUAAAUUCAAUUGCAUAUACCUUCAUGCUUUAUACUUAUUACCAUCUAAAAUACAGAUUUCCCUCAUCUAUACAAGGACCGAGAUUUGCUGGUGGAAACAGAAAAAAACUAUCACCGCUAACUUUUUGAAACUGCAGAAAAAGGUAGGAGAAUUGGAAUUGAAUUUUAGAUUUGGAAGAAUAAUUAACAAACUAGAAGGAUUAGAAGACCUACACAAGCGUAGAGUGGUGCCAUGCCUUUUUAGUCUCCUACCUUUUGUUUCUUGAAUUUAUUUUUAUGUUUCUAUAUUUUAAUUCUUUUGUGGCAUUUGAGAUUUUUUAACAAUUUGAGAUUGUAGAGUUUGUGAAAAUAAAUGACAUAAAGUGAUUCACAAGUCACAAAUUUGAAAAAGAUGUUGUGCGAAGACAACAUGUUUUAAUUUGUAUUGGAAUUAAUUAUUGUGUAUUUUUUCCCUUCAUAUAUAUUUACUCGCAUUCAUAGAUUUUUCACUCACUUCUUAUAUUUUUGUUUCUCGAACAAGUGUCGCAGUUUUUCAGCACAAAGCAGUUUCGAUUCCGCAAUGUCACACAUAUUUUUCUCGAAUAAGUGGAUCAGGUCAUAAUUCUACUUAUUCAUCACCUCGAGGAAGCCAAAU